GGAUGAACGCUAGCGGCAGGCUUAACACAUGCACUUCGAGGGGCAUCGGGAGGGAAGCUUGCUUUCCUUGCCGGCGACCGGCGCACGGGUGAGUAACACGUAUGCAACCUGCCCUCUUCAGGGGGACAACCUUCCGAAAGGGAGGCUAAUCCCGCGUAUAUCGGUUUCGGGCAUCCGAGAUCGAGGAAAGAUUCAUCGGAAGAGGAUGGGCAUGCGGCGCAUUAGCUAGACGGCGGGGUAACGGCCCACCGUGGCGACGAUGCGUAGGGGUUCUGAGAGGAAGGUCCCCCACACUGGUACUGAGACACGGACCAGACUCCUACGGGAGGCAGCAGUGAGGAAUAUUGGUCAAUGGGAGAGAUCCUGAACCAGCCAAGCCGCGUGAGGGAAGACGGCCCUAUGGGUUGUAAACCUCUUUUGUCGGAGAACAAAACCUGGGACGUGUCCCGGACUGCGUGUAUCCGAAGAAAAAGCAUCGGCUAACUCCGUGCCAGCAGCCGCGGUAAUACGGAGGAUGCGAGCGUUAUCCGGAUUUAUUGGGUUUAAAGGGUGCGUAGGCGGUCUGUUAAGUCAGCGGUAAAAUUGCGGGGCUCAACCCCGUCGAGCCGUUGAAACUGGCAGACUUGAGUUGGCGAGAAGUACGCGGAAUGCGCGGUGUAGCGGUGAAAUGCAUAGAUAUCGCGCAGAACUCCGAUUGCGAAGGCAGCGUACCGGCGCCAGACUGACGCUGAGGCACGAAAGCGUGGGGAUCGAACAGGAUUAGAUACCCUGGUAGUCCACGCAGUAAACGAUGAAUGCUGGUUGUCCGGGUCGAAUGAGAUCUGGGCGGCGAAGCGAAAGCGAUAAGCAUUCCACCUGGGGAGUACGCCGGCAACGGUGAAACUCAAAGGAAUUGACGGGGGCCCGCACAAGCGGAGGAACAUGUGGUUUAAUUCGAUGAUACGCGAGGAACCUUACCCGGGCUCAAACGGGAGUGGAAUGGACCAGAGACGGUUCAGCCUACGGGCCGCUUCCGAGGUGCUGCAUGGUUGUCGUCAGCUCGUGCCGUGAGGUGUCGGCUUAAGUGCCAUAACGAGCGCAACCCCCGCCGGCAGUUGCUAACGGGCAAUGCCGAGGACUCUGCCGGGACUGCCGCCGCAAGGCGUGAGGAAGGCGGGGAUGACGUCAAAUCAGCACGGCCCUUACGUCCGGGGCGACACACGUGUUACAAUGGGCGGUACAGCGGGAAGCCAGGCGGCGACGCCGAGCGGAACCCGAAAGCCGUUCUCAGUUCGGAUCGGAGUCUGCAACCCGACUCCGUGAAGCUGGAUUAGCUAGUAAUCGCGCAUCAGCCAUGGCGCGGU
Molecule: ribosomal RNA, 1343 nt
Filed under: uncultured bacterium
Lineage: Bacteria
Description: bacterial SSU rRNA
Rfam family: Bacterial small subunit ribosomal RNA
Source: RNAcentral